GUUUAUUUAUGUUCGUACACGCAUUAAAUGUAGCUUGCAAGACAAUGAGCACAGAUAGCAUGUUAGCAUAUCAAACAUGAACAAUUCCCCCUCUCAUUCGAAUAUAAAAGUACAGUUUCAGCACAUUAAAGUUACCUUAGAACAAACCAGGCUUCAUCUUAUCAGUAUCAUGGAAGUCAUUAUAUGAGGUAAAUGCAAAAUUGCGAAUGAAAACGUUUUUCCUGGUGAGUUGAGCAGCUUCUUGCUACAUGCUUCUUGACUGGAUUGUGACUGAGCAGCCAAAGCAGGAAAACGCAGUUGAGCUUCCCUUUCUUAAAGCUACGGUGACAAUUUCAGAACGUAACCGGCUGUUACUGCAAUUUCAGGUGAAUGCUCAAUCAAACAAGUCUCAAAUAUAAUGAAAAUGUCUUUACAUUUCAGCUGUUUCAAAAACAUUGUUCUGCUAUUAGUAUUUUUAAUGUUGGGCUCAUCGAGACAAUUCUGUUUACACUGCGCUGCUCAGAGGGAGGAAACUGUCGGGCGAGUGUCAUGUGCGAGCUCCGGAGGUAGCAUUCGAGAUAACAGCCUCAAUUCGUCGGGGGAUGGACUCAACAAGGUGUCAAAAACGUUCCACAUGGAUGCUGGCCCAUGUUGAUUCCAAUGCAUCCCACAGUUGUGUCAAGUUGGCUGGAUGUUCUUUGGGUGGUGGACCAUUCUUGAUACACACAGGAAACUGUUGAGUGUGAAAAACGCAGCAAGUGUUGCAGUUCUUGACAUAAACUUGUACUCCUGGCACCUUCAAAGGCACUUAAAUAUCUUGUCUUGCCCAUUCACCCUCUGAAUGGCAUGCAUACACAAUCCAUGUCUCAAUUGUCUCAAGGCUUAGAAAUCCUUCUUUAACCUAUAUCCUUCCCUUCAUCUACACAGAUUGAAGUGCAUUUAACAAGUGACAUCAAUAAGGGAUCGUAGCCUACUGGUAUAUGAGGAGUAAUGCAUUUCAGUGAGAAAUAAUCUACAUUGCCAGAUGCAUACCUCUUUGUACCCCGCUUAGUUUUGGAAACAAGCUGUGUUUGUUUCAGCUGAGCUACCAUGUCAACACAUUUAGACAUUGAUCAGCUUCCAAACUCAUUUGCGUAGACUACCUAAAUAACAUUGAAUAUUUGAAAGUAACUCCUCUUCACAAGCAGUAUGUGAAAGUAAAUUCACAGUGAGGUGGGUUUAUGUAGGCUACAUCUUAUUUGCCCAAAGGACACCAUCAUUUCAAUGUGAAGCUAGGUAUACUAUCAUUCAUCCAUGGUUGAUUGGAUCUUUGGAAGUUUAGAAGUUGUUACUAUUACCAUUACCAUACCGUUCAGGGUGUGCAAGUGCUCCUUCAAAUGUUAAUAAUUGAUAUUUGGUUGUGUUCACAAUUCAAUAUCCAGUUUAUCUUCUAAUUACUUAUUAAUAUGUUGGAUUCACAUCUCCAUGUAAACCAAAAAUUGGAGUAAAAUGAUAGCACUAAAUCAAAUCAAACUUUAAAUGCACUUCAAAUAAAGUUUAAUAUUUUUCAACUUAGAUUUUUGGUUGACAUGGAGACGUGAAUCAAACAUAUGAAUAACUUCUAGAUUACAUUUGAAAUCAACCAAUCAUCCUUCAUAUUCAAAACAAUAUCCAAAACAAUAUCCAUAAUACAUUAAAAGUGUAUUAUUAAUAUCAUCAAUUUGGCAUCCUAUUUAUAGGGCUAAUGGUAACUACUUCUAAACUUCCAAAGAUGCAAUCAACCUUGGAUGAAUGAUAGAAUACCUAGCUUCAAGUUGAAAUGAUGGUGUCCUUUGGGCAAAUCAAAUGUUAACGUAGCCUACGUAAACCCUACCUCACUCCAAAUGUACUUUCACAAUCAGCUUGUGUGAGAAAAGUUAGAGGAGUUAUUUAGUUAUUUGGGCCUAGGUUGUCUACACAAAUUAGUAUGGAAUCAAUGUGUAACUGUCUUGACAUAAUAGCUCAGCUGAAUCGAAAACACAUCUUGUUUCUGAAGCUAAGCAGAGUACAUAGUGUUAGGUAUCUGGCUGGUAGACUUGUUCUCACUGAAUUGCAUUACCCUUUAUAUAACAGUAGGAGUCAAUGUUCAGGCAGGACUUGUUGGACGGUAAGCUUCACAUUUUAUUUCAAUAUACCUCUUUAUUUAUGUCGAUAGCAUGACGUUGAAACAAUGACGUUGAUUCCAACAUACCAUUUUACCAUUCAGUUUAAAUAAAAUGUCUAAUCAAAUAUGAAAUUCAACAAAAUAUGUUUUAUGUUUUCAACGUAAUUUUAACAUUUACAUAGGUCUGAUGAUUAUGUUGAAAUUAGAUUGAUGUAACAACCUGUUAGUCAGGUUAAGUCAAUGUAUUUAAGUUGAAGUUUUACCCUAAUUUCAAUGUUUAAGUAAAGACGCUGGUUGAAAUUAGAUGAAAACAGUACUGGAUGAUGACAUUCUUCAAAUGAAUUUUCAACGUUGAUUCCACGUCACAAUAUGAAUUACAUUGAUUCAACCAGUUUGUGCCCAGUGGGUAGUCUCUCUUCCAUAAAAACAUUAAGAUGUAAGACAAAAGAUUAAGCAAGGCUGAGAUAGUGGUGAAAUAUUGCUUUAAGGCAUUUAUUAGGCCUAGUUAAUGAAGCACAUUCUUCUGUACCGUUCUUUGAUGAUUCAACACCACCAAGCACUACUUUCUAAUAUUAUGGAGAACCUUAACUUUCCCUUCCGAAAUUGAUUUUACAGCCCAAUAAAAGGACUAGGAGCAUUUUAAUCUAAGUCAAGUUACAAUGUAAAUCACAUUUUCAUGGCGCUUAAACUUCCAGAUAUAUAUUAUAUUAUGCUAAGUAAAAUACAUAAGCUUAAUGUUUUAUUCAUCUGGACAGCACUAGAUGAUGUCUGAGAGAUGUGAAUGUACUGUAAUAAGGUCUGGUUGGUUUAACAUCCAUA
Long non-coding RNA from Oncorhynchus tshawytscha (Chinook salmon), 2920 nucleotides. The record is from Ensembl. NCBI's taxonomy places the organism in Eukaryota, Metazoa, Chordata, Actinopteri, Salmoniformes, Salmonidae.